This 65-nucleotide transfer RNA is filed under the name Dipodomys ordii (Ord's kangaroo rat). It matches the Rfam family "tRNA". From Rfam's summary of the family: Transfer RNA (tRNA) molecules are approximately 80 nucleotides in length. Their secondary structure includes four short double-helical elements and three loops (D, anti-codon, and T loops). Lineage: Eukaryota; Metazoa; Chordata; Mammalia; Rodentia; Heteromyidae. The record is from Rfam by way of RNAcentral.
GGUGGCUCAAUGGUAGAGUGCUUGCCUUGCAUGUAAGAGGCCCUGGGUUCAAUUCCUCAGUACUA